UCCGUAUGUUUGAUAUGUGUGGUUGAUUGACAUAUAUAUGUAAUAUUACAUGUCAUUUCAUGUUUUAUUUGUGUGGCGAAUGCAAUUGUACUUUUAAACAUUAUUUUAUAUCAUAUCACUUGUAUAUAUAUUGUUCUCUGCAUACAUACGUAUUUGUUAUGCAGAUCUGUGAGUGUGAUCAUUCAGAAGAAUAUCCUCCAUUAUGAUCAGCUUGGGUACAACCAGCCUGGUAUGUAAUACCUGACCAGAUUCCCUAUAUACCAGAAAUGUAUUUACAAUAAUAUUUCCUAAAGAUACCUACAGUAUGUCUUUAUGAUCGUUGUAUAUUUGUACUAAUAUUAUGUAACAUUAUAUCUUGUGACAUAGUUCAGAUGUAUUUAACUAGGUGUAUCUUAUAUACUUAAUGAGUGAUUUGAACCUGUACAUAUUUAUGUGAUUCCAUUUAAUAUACUUUCUUAUAUGUUCUUUCAGGCUGUUUAAUAAAUAGACCAGAAAUAAACGUAUCGGCCUCA
This is a long non-coding RNA of Haliotis rubra (blacklip abalone), 512 nucleotides long. RefSeq lists it as uncharacterized. The record is from RefSeq and is a predicted model, not a curated record. The transcript is spliced from 2 exons. Lineage: Eukaryota; Metazoa; Mollusca; Gastropoda; Lepetellida; Haliotidae.